RNAcentral lists this long non-coding RNA (3366 nucleotides) under Xyrichtys novacula (pearly razorfish). Lineage: Eukaryota; Metazoa; Chordata; Actinopteri; Labriformes; Labridae. The record is from RNAcentral.
CUUCGGAGGAGUUAGCGAAAUUCCAAUGUGUGCAGAUCUGCAAAAAAUGCGAAAUAACCCUCUAACCGUACAUUUCACAGAUGCGCACGCGCUGACUUUUUCGUAGACCGUAUUGAGAUACACGUGUGUGUCAAUUUUUGUGUCAAUAUGACAAAGCGUACAGGCGUGACAGUCAAUAGUGUGAAUUUUCGCCUUAGGGGGCGCUAUGGAGCCAUUUUGCAUUUUAUUGUUUGGGCGACUUCAGAAUAUCGAAUUUUUCACCAGGCCCGGUCGUCCUGCCAAAUUUCAUGAGUUUUCGCCAGUGGGAAGUGGGCCAUUUUCCAGUUUAAAGCGGAGGAAAAAUAAUAAUAACUAGGGCCCCGUUGGGGCACUGGCGGGCCCGAGCCGUGUCGCGCCGCUCCCAGCGCGACCACCUACCCCUCCUGAUCGCGUCACACUAAAGGUCCAAAGAUUGUGUGCGCACUUGUCUGUGGUCAUUUACCAUUAUAAUGAAUGGGAGGCGCAGUUUCUACCAAAACGCUCGCUGCAGACAAACUCCAUGUCCUUUUUGAAAAAAGUCUGGACCAUGAGUGAGGGCACAAACACAGCUAGUAUAUACCCAAAUGGCAAGGUGCUCCUCCUUUCGGUUUUGCCGAGGGAGCGAUGAAUUUGAGCCAUUGAGCGAUGGGCAGGAAAAACUUGACUUUUUCUCCUGCCAUGGGGGGGGCGCUCUUUUGGGGAAAAAAAAAUUCCUUCACAAAUGUGUUGAUGACUGAACAUUGCAUCAUCCUAGAAAACUUGGAGGCCAGUGAGGACAAAAAUAAAGUUAUAAGACUUUUAAAAAUGUGGAUAUUUGGGUCAUCUUUGGCGCCCCCUAGAACGUAAACCGUGGGAUGCAGCGUCAUGAUUUGUACAACUUUGAAUGGCCAUGGGGUGUAGAUUGGCCUGAGCAAAUUUGGUGUCAGUGGAACGAAAGCCUUAGGAGGAGUUAGCCACAUUCCAAUGUGUGCGAAUCGGCAAAAAAUGCGAAAUAGCCCUUUAACUGUAAAUUUUACAGAUACGCGCACAUUGACUUUUUCGUAGAUCUUAUUGAGAUACACGUGAUUGUCAAAUUUUGUGUCAAUAUGACAAAGCGUACAGGCGUGACACUCAACAAUGUGUAUAUUCGCCUUAGGGGACAAGAAAAAAUUGACUUUUUUCUCCUGCCAUGGGGGGGCGCUCUUUUGGCGAGUAAAAAUUCCUUCACAAAUGUGUUAAUUGCUGGACAUUGCAUCAUCCUAGAGAACUUGGAGGCCAGUGAGGACAAAAAUAAAAAGUUAUAAGACUUUUAAGACUGUGGAUUUUUGGGUUAUCUUUGGCGCCCCCUAGAACGUAAACCGUGGGGUGCAGCGUCAUGAUUUGUACAACUUUUAAUGGCCAUGGGGUGUAGAUUGGCCUGAGCAAAUGUGGUGCCGGUGGAACGAAAGUCUUCGGAGGAGUAAGCGAAAUUCCAAUGUGUGCGGAUCGGCAAAAAAUGCGAAAUAACCCUUUAUCCGUACAUUUGACAGACACGCCCGCGCUGACUUUUUUGUAGAUCUUAUUGAGAUACAUGUGUGUGUCAAUUUUUGUGUCAAUAUGACAAAGCGUACAGGCGUGACAGUCAAUAGUGUGAAUUUUCACCUUAGGGGGCGCUAUGGAGCCAUUUUGCAUUUCAUUGUUUGGGCGACUUCAGAAUAUCGAAUUUUUCACCAGGCCCGGUCGUCCUGUCAAAUUUCAUGAGUUUUCGCCAGUGGGAAGUGGGCCAUUUUCCCCCUCAAAGGGGAGGAAAAAUAAGAAGAAAGAAAGAAAGAAAGAAAGAAGAAAGAAAAACUUAUCAGGAACAACAGGGCUCUCGCAGCUGCUUAGCAGCUACGCUCGGGCCCUAAUAAUAACAAAAGAAGAAUCCAUCAGGAACAAGAGGGCUCUCGCAGCUGCUUAGCAGCUACGCUCGGGCCCUAAAAAGAAACAAAGAAAAACCACUUGGGGAAUAAUAGGGCUCUCGCAGCUGCUUAGCAGCUACGCUCGGGCCCUAAAGAAAGAAAGAAACAAAGAACUAGGGCCCCGCUGGGGCACUGGCGGGCCCGAGCCGUGUCGUGCUGCCCCCAGCGCGACCCCCUCCCCCUCCCGAUCGAGUCACACUCAAGGUCCAAAGAUGGUGUGCGCACUUGUCUGUGGUCAUUUACCAUUAUAAUGAAUGGGAGGCGCAGUUUCUACCAAAACGCUCGCUGCAGACAAACUCCAUGUCCUUUUUGAAAAAAGUCUGGACCAUGAGUGAGGGCACAAACACAGCUUCGAUAUAUCCAAAUGGCAAGUUGCUCCUCCUUUCGGUUUUGCCGAGAGAGCGAUGCGUUUGAGCCAUUGGGCGAUGGGCAGGAAAAACUUAACUUUUUCUCCUGCCAUGGGGGGGCGCUCGUUUGGGGAGAAAAAAUUCUUUCACAAAUGUGUUGAUGGCUGAACAUUGCAUUAUCCUAGAAAACUUGGAGGCCAGUGAGGACAAAAACAAAAAGUUAUAAGACUUUUGAAAUUGUGGAUAUUUGGGUCCUCUUUGGCGCCCCCUUGAACGUAAACCGUGGAGUGCAGCGUCAUGAUUUGUACAACUUUGAAUGGCCAUGGGGUGUAGAUUGGCCUGAGCAAAUUUGGUGCCGAUGGGACGAAAGCUUUAGGAGGAGUUAGCCACAUUCCAAUGUGUGCGAAUCGGCAAAAAAUGCGAAAUAGCCCUUUAACCGUACAUUUUACAGAUACGUGCGCAUUGACUUUUUCGUAGAUCUUAUUGAGAUACACGUGAUUGUCAAAUUUUGUGUCAAUAUGACAAAGCGUACAGGCGUGACACUGAACAAUGUGUAUUUUCACCCUAGGGGACAAGAAAAAAUUAACUUUUUUCUCCUGCCAUGGGGGGGCGCUCUUUUGGGGAGUAAAAAUUCCUUCACAAAUGUGUUGAUGGCUGGACAUUGCAUCAUCCUAGAGAACUUGGAGGCCAGUGAGGACAAAAAUAAAAAGUUAUAAGACUUUAAAGAAUGUGGAUUUUUGGGUUAUCUUUGGCGCCCCCUAGAACCUAAACCGUGGGGUGCAGCGUCAUGAUUUGUACAACUUUUAAUGGCCAUGGGGUGUAGAUUGGCCUGAGCAAAUGUGGUGCUGGUGGAACGAAAGUCUUCAGAGGAGUUAGCGAAAUUCCAAUGUGUGGGGAUCUGCAAAAAAUGCGAAAUAACCCUUUAACCGUACAUUUGACAGAUACGCCCGCACUGACUUUUUUGUAGAUCUUAUUGAGAUACAUGUGUGUGUCAAUUUUUGUGUCAUUUUGACAAAGCGUACAGGCAUGACAGUCAAUAGUGUGAAUUUUCACCUUAGGGGGCGCUAUGGAGCCAUUUUGCA